GAGUUUGAUCAUGGCUCAGGAUGAACGCUGGCGGCGUGCCUAAUACAUGCAAGUCGAGCGAACAGACGAGGAGCUUGCUCCUCUGACGUUAGCGGCGGACGGGUGAGUAACACGUGGAUAACCUACCUAUAAGACUGGGAUAACUUCGGGAAACCGGAGCCAAUACCGGAUAAUAUAUUGAACCGCAUGGUUCAAUAGUGAAAGACGGUUUUGCUGUCACUUAUAGAUGGAUCCGCGCCGCAUUAGCUAGUUGGUAAAGUAACGGCUUACCAAGGCAACGAUGCGUAGCCGACCUGAGAGGGUGAUCGGCCACACUGGAACUGAGACACGGUCCAGACUCCUACGGGAGGCAGCAGUAGGGAAUCUUCCGCAAUGGGCGAAAGCCUGACGGAGCAACGCCGCGUGAGUGAUGAAGGUCUUCGGAUCGUAAAACUCUGUUAUUAGGGAGAACAAAUGUGUAAGUAACUAUGCACGUCUUGACGGUACCUAAUCAGAAAGCCACGGCUAACUACGUGCCAG
Molecule: ribosomal RNA, 519 nt
Filed under: uncultured microorganism
Description: bacterial SSU rRNA
Rfam family: Bacterial small subunit ribosomal RNA
Source: RNAcentral